GCACCCGUAGCUCAGCUGGAUAGAGCGUCGCCCUCCGAAGGCGAAGGUCACAGGUUCGAAUCCUGUCGGGUGCGCCA
Molecule: transfer RNA, 77 nt
Filed under: Mesorhizobium sp. LNJC384A00
Lineage: Bacteria; Pseudomonadati; Pseudomonadota; Alphaproteobacteria; Hyphomicrobiales; Phyllobacteriaceae
Also listed under: 2 other names
Description: tRNA-Arg
Rfam family: tRNA
About the family: Transfer RNA (tRNA) molecules are approximately 80 nucleotides in length. Their secondary structure includes four short double-helical elements and three loops (D, anti-codon, and T loops).
Source: RNAcentral